RNAcentral lists this ribosomal RNA (324 nucleotides) under uncultured eukaryote. Its description in RNAcentral is "partial 18S ribosomal RNA". It matches the Rfam family "Eukaryotic small subunit ribosomal RNA", at positions 1470 to 1796 of the family's 1831-position model. The record is from RNAcentral.
CCCUUAGAUGUUCUGGGCCGCACGCGCGCUACACUGAUACGUUCAACGAGCUCCUUGACCGAGAGGCCCGGGUAAUCUUUGAAACCGUAUCGUGAUGGGGAUAGAACAUUGCAAUUAUUGUUCUUCAGCGAGGAAUGCCUAGUAAGCGCGAGUCAUCAUCUCGCGUUGAUUACGUCCCUGCCCUUUGUACACACCGCCCGUCGCUCCUACCGAUUGAACGUGCUGGUGAAGCGUUAGGACUGGAGGUCUUGGGCCGGUUCGCCUGCCCAUAGCUUCGGGAAUUUCGUUGAACCCUCCCGUUUAGAGGAAGGAGAAGUCGUAACA